This 494-nucleotide ribosomal RNA is filed under the name uncultured bacterium. RNAcentral's name for it is "partial 16S ribosomal RNA". It matches the Rfam family "Bacterial small subunit ribosomal RNA", at positions 28 to 507 of the family's 1533-position model. The record is from RNAcentral.
GACGAACGCUGGCGGCGUGCUUAACACAUGCAAGUCGAACGGAAAGGCCUGCUUUCCCUUGUGGAUUGCGGGUACUCGCGUGGCGAACGGGUGAGUAACACGUGAGUGAUCUGCCCUCAACUUGGGUAUAAGCCGGGGAAACUGGGUCUAAUUCCAGAUAGGACUGCAGGGUGGUGCCGGUGGUGGGAAACGAGUUUCUAGUGGUUGGGGAUGAGCUUGUGGCGUAUGAGCUUGUUGGUUGGGUAAUGGCCUGCCAAGGGUGCGACGGGUAGCCGGCCUGGGAGGGUGGACGGCAACAUGGGGACUGAGACACGGCCCAGACUCCUACGGGAGGCAGCAGGGGGGAAUAGUGCACAAUGGGCGGAAGCCUGAUGCAGCGACGCCGCGUGGGGGAUGACGGCAUUCGGGUUGUAAACUCCUUUCGACCGCGAGGAAGCCACCUGGUUGGAAGGGUGGUGACGGUAGUGGUAGAAGAAGCACCGGCUAACUACGUG